This 1161-nucleotide long non-coding RNA is filed under the name Homo sapiens (human). The record is from RNAcentral. Lineage: Eukaryota; Metazoa; Chordata; Mammalia; Primates; Hominidae.
ACGGCCCCCGGGGCUCAGGCGGGGAGCAGCUCUGUGGUGUGGGAUUGAGGCGUUUUCCAAGAGUGGGUUUUCACGUUUCUAAGAUUUCCCAAGCAGACAGCCCGUGCUGCUCCGAUUUCUCGAACAAAAAAGCAAAACGUGUGGCUGUCUUGGGAGCAAGUCGCAGGACUGCAAGCAGUUGGGGGAGAAAGUCCGCCAUUUUGCCACUUCUCAACCGUCCCUGCAAGGCUGGGGCUCAGUUGCGUAAUGGAAAGUAAAGCCCUGAACUAUCACACUUUAAUCUUCCUUCAAAAGGUGGUAAACUAUACCUACUGUCCCUCAAGAGAACACAAGAAGUGCUUUAAGAGGCGGCGGAAGGUGAUCGAAUUCCGGUGAUGCGAGUUGUUCUCCGUCUAUAAAUACGCCUCGCCCGAGCUGUGCGGUAGGCAUUGAGGCAGCCAGCGCAGGGGCUUCUGCUGAGGGGGCAGGCGGAGCUUGAGGAAACCGCAGAUAAGUUUUUUUCUCUUUGAAAGAUAGAGAUUAAUACAACUACUUAAAAAAUAUAGUCAAUAGGUUACUAAGAUAUUGCUUAGCGUUAAGUUUUUAACGUAAUUUUAAUAGCUUAAGAUUUUAAGAGAAAAUAUGAAGACUUAGAAGAGUAGCAUGAGGAAGGAAAAGAUAAAAGGUUUCUAAAACAUGACGGAGGUUGAGAUGAAGCUUCUUCAUGGAGUAAAAAAUGUAUUUAAAAGAAAAUUGAGAGAAAGGACUACAGAGCCCCGAAUUAAUACCAAUAGAAGGGCAAUGCUUUUAGAUUAAAAUGAAGGUGACUUAAACAGCUUAAAGUUUAGUUUAAAAGUUGUAGGUGAUUAAAAUAAUUUGAAGGCGAUCUUUUAAAAAGAGAUUAAACCGAAGGUGAUUAAAAGACCUUGAAAUCCAUGACGCAGGGAGAAUUGCGUCAUUUAAAGCCUAGUUAACGCAUUUACUAAACGCAGACGAAAAUGGAAAGAUUAAUUGGGAGUGGUAGGAUGAAACAAUUUGGAGAAGAUAGAAGUUUGAAGUGGAAAACUGGAAGACAGAAGUACGGGAAGGCGAAGAAAAGAAUAGAGAAGAUAGGGAAAUUAGAAGAUAAAAACAUACUUUUAGAAGAAAAAAGAUAAAUUUAAACCUGAAAAGUAGGAAGCA